CCUGAUAUGACCUGCCCAUGAACACAGGUUAGGAGGCCUGAUAUGACCUGCCCAUGAACACAGGUUAGGAGGCCUGAUAUGACCUGCCCAUGAACACAGGUUAGGAGGCCUGAUAUGACCUGCCCAUGAACACAGGUUAGGAGGCCUGAUAUGACCUGCCCAUGAACACAGGUUAGGAGGCCUGAUAGGUUAGGAGGCCUGCUAUGACCUGCCCAUGAACACAGGUUAGGAGGCCUGAUAGGUUAGGAGGCCUGAUAUGACCUGCCCAUGAACACAGGUUAGGAGGCCUGAUAUGACCUGCCCAUGAACACAGGUUAGGAGGCCUGAUAUGACCUGCCCAUGAACACAGGUUAGGAGGCCUGAUAGGUUAGGAGGCCUGAUAUGACCUGCCCAUGAACACAGGUUAGGAGGCCUGAUAUGACCUGUCCAUGAACACAGGUUAGGAGGCCUGAUAUGACCUGCCCAUGAACACAGGUUAGGAGGCCUGAUAUGACCUGCCCAUGAACACAGGUUAGGAGGCCUGAUAUGACCUGCCCAUGAACACAGGUUAGGAGGCCUGAUAUGACCUGCCCAUGAACACAGGUUAGGAGGCCUGAUAUGACCUGCCCAUGAACACAGGUUAGGAGGCCUGAUAGGUUAGGAGGCCUGCUAUGACCUGCCCAUGAACACAGGUUAGGAGGCCUGAUAGGUUAGGAGGCCUGAUAUGACCUGCCCAUGAACACAGGUUAGGAGGCCUGAUAUGACCUGCCCAUGAACACAGGUUAGGAGGCCUGAUAUGACCUGCCCAUGAACACAGGUUAGGAGGCCUGAUAGGUUAGGAGGCCUGCUAUGACCUGCCCAUGAACACAGGUUAGGAGGCCUGAUAGGUUAGGAGGCCUGAUAUGACCUGCCCAUGAACACAGGUUAGGAGGCCUGAUAUGACCUGCCCAUGAACACAGGUUAGGAGGCCUGAUAUGACCUGCCCAUGAACACAGGUUAGGAGGCCUGAUAUGACCUGCCCAUGAACACAGGUUAGGAGGCCUGAUAGGUUAGGAGGCCUGAUAUGACCUGCCCAUGAACACAGGUUAGGAGGCCUGAUAUGACCGCCCAUGAACACAGGUUAGGAGGCCUGAUAGAUUAGGAGGCCUGAUAGAUUAGGAGGCCUGAUAUGACCUGCCCAUGAACACAGGUUAGGAGGCCUGAUAUGACCUGCCCAUGAACACAGGUUAGGAGGCCUGCUAUGACCUGCCCAUGAACACAGGUUAGGAGGCCUGAUAUAUACUGCCCAUGAACACAGGUUAGGAGGCCUGAUAUAUACUGCCCAUGAACACAGGUUAGGAGGCCUGAUAUAUACUGCCCAUGAACACAGGUUAGGAGGCCUGAUAUAUACUGCCCAUGAACACAGGUUAGGAGGCCUGAUAUAUACUGCCCAUGAACACAGGUUAGGAGGCCUGAUAUGACCUGCCCAUGAACACAGGUUAGGAGGCCUGAUAUGACCUGCCCAUGAACACAGGUUAGGAGGCCUGAUAUGACCUGCCCAUGAACACAGGUUAGGAGGCCUGAUAUGACCUGCCCAUGAACACAGGUUAGGAGGCCUGAUAUGACCUGUCCAUGAACACAGGUUAGGAGGCCUGAUAGAUUAGGAGGCCUGAUAGGUUAGGAGGUCUGAUAGGUUAGGAGGUCUGAUAUGUACUGUCCAUGAACACAGGUUAGGAGGCCUGAUAUGACCUGCCCAUGAACACAGGUUAGGAGGCCUGAUGGAGAGACUGCUCACUAGCGGUCUGACAUGUCGAUCUGCUGUGGAGGUCCGUGGUACACAACAUGUCAAUACUAAAGUAUAGUGACAUUAAUGUUCUUCCCCUCUU
Long non-coding RNA from Oncorhynchus keta (chum salmon), 1844 nucleotides. RefSeq lists it as uncharacterized. Lineage: Eukaryota; Metazoa; Chordata; Actinopteri; Salmoniformes; Salmonidae. The record is from RefSeq and is a predicted model, not a curated record. The transcript is spliced from 5 exons.